Hipposideros armiger (great roundleaf bat) is the source of this 614-nucleotide long non-coding RNA. RefSeq lists it as uncharacterized. The record is from RefSeq and is a predicted model, not a curated record. The transcript has 3 exons. Lineage: Eukaryota; Metazoa; Chordata; Mammalia; Chiroptera; Hipposideridae.
ACUGACCUUAGCAUCAAUAACUAUAGACUGUAAGCAAAGAAAGAGUUAAAACCACAUUAGGUGAAUCACAGAUAUUUCUCUUUAUGGCCAGCAACUAUUACUUUCCAAAGCAAUUUUUUUUGCAGAUGAUUUUGUUUCCGUAAAUCACACUUCCAAUUUUCAAAUGUCUUUUUUAAACACAUGCAAAAGCACUUCAUAGGGCUCUUAAAAAUCUGAACCUGCCAAAUUAUAUAUAAAUUACACCAAGAAUGCUAUAAGUCCUGAAAGCAAAAGGAGACACACACACACACACACACACACACACACAUACACACACACACACACACACAAAACCAUGGAAAACAGCAAAUCUUCAUCUCCCUGCUAGGAUACAGACACUGGCCAGAAAGCUCUGAUAAAGAAAGUUUCCAGAAGGACCCAACAUUCUGAUGAUCGGAGGAGUGAAGCUGCACUUCACUAAGAAUGACCCCUGAGCAAGGGCUGUUCCUACUUGGUUCCUGCCAUAAUGCCAGAGACACAGAGGCCCUCUAUAUGCUCCAUGGUGAAUUGACUGACAAUGAAUGAACCACGAAAGGAUGGUCCAGUGGUUGUGGAAUAUCAAAGUCAUGGCAGAC